RNAcentral lists this ribosomal RNA (609 nucleotides) under uncultured soil bacterium. Its description in RNAcentral is "bacterial SSU rRNA". It matches the Rfam family "Bacterial small subunit ribosomal RNA", at positions 874 to 1482 of the family's 1533-position model. The record is from RNAcentral.
UGGGAAUUACGGCCGCAAGGUUGAAACUCAAAGGAAUUGACGGGGCCCCGCACAAGCGGUGGAGCAUGUGGUUAAAUUCGACGCAACGCGAAGAACCUUACCCAGGCUUGAACUGCAGAGGACACUCUAAGAAAUUAGACUUCCGCAAGGACCUCUGUAGAGGUGCUGCAUGGCUGUCGUCAGCUCGUGUCGUGAGAUGUUGGGUUAAGUCCCGCAACGAGCGCAACCCUUGUCUUCUGUUGCCAUCAGGUUAAGCUGGGCACUCUGAAGAGACUGCCGGUGACAAACCGGAGGAAGGUGGGGAUGACGUCAAGUCAGCAUGGCCUUUAUGUCUGGGGCCACACACGUGCUACAAUGGCAGGUACAAACCGUCGCGAGACCGCAAGGUGGAGCUAAUCGGAUAAAGCCUGUCUCAGUUCGGAUUGUCGGCUGCAACUCGCCGGCAUGAAGUUGGAAUCGCUAGUAAUCGCGGAUCAGCACGCCGCGGUGAAUACGUUCCCGGGCCUUGUACACACCGCCCGUCACAUCACGAAAGCUGGCUGUACUAGAAGUAGCAGCGCUAACCCGCAAGGGAGGCAUGUUCCUAAGGUAUGGUCAGUGAUUGGGGUG